UCAUCUCCGGGGGUAGAGCACUGUUUCGGCAAGGGGGUCAUCCCGACUUACCAACCCGAUGCAAACUGCGAAUACCGGAGAAUGUUAUCACGGGAGACACACGGCGGGUGCUAACGUCCGUCGUGAAGAGGGAAACAACCCAGACCGCCAGCUAAGGUCCCAAAGUCAUGGUUAAGUGGGAAACGAUGUGGGAAGGCCCAGACAGCCAGGAUGUUGGCUUAGAAGCAGCCAUCAUUUAAAGAAAGCGUAAUAGCUCACUGGUCGAGUCGGCCUGCGCGGAAGAUGUAACGGGGCUAAACCAUGCACCGAAGCUGCGGCAGCGACACUAUGUGUUGUUGGGUAGGGGAGCGUUCUGUAAGCCUGUGAAGGUGGCCUGUGAGGGUUGCUGGAGGUAUCAGAAGUGCGAAUGCUGACAUAAGUAACGAUAAAGCGGGUGAAAAGCCCGCUCGCCGGAAGACCAAGGGUUCCUGUCCAACGUUAAUCGGGGCAGGGUGAGUCGACCCCUAAGGCGAGGCCGAAAGGCGUAGUCGAUGGGAAACAGGUUAAUAUUCCUGUACUUGGUGUUACUGCGAAGGGGGGACGGAGAAGGCUAUGUUGGCCGGGCGACGGUUGUCCCGGUUUAAGCGUGUAGGCUGGUUUUCCAGGCAAAUCCGGAAAAUCAAGGCUGAGGCGUGAUGACGAGGCACUACGGUGCUGAAGCGACAAAUGCCCUGCUUCCAGGAAAAGCCUCUAAGCAUCAGGUAACAUCAAAUCGUACCCCAAACCGACACAGGUGGUCAGGUAGAGAAUACCAAGGCGCUUGAGAGAACUCGGGUGAAGGAACUAGGCAAAAUGGUGCCGUAACUUCGGGAGAAGGCACGCUGAUAUGUAGGUGAAGCGACUUGCUCGUGGAGCUGAAAUCAGUCGAAGAUACCAGCUGGCUGCAACUGUUUAUUAAAAACACAGCACUGUGCAAACACGAAAGUGGACGUAUACGGUGUGACGCCUGCCCGGUGCCGGAAGGUUAAUUGAUGGGGUUAGCGGUAACGCGAAGCUCUUGAUCGAAGCCCCGGUAAACGGCGGCCGUAACUAUAACGGUCCUAAGGUAGCGAAAUUCCUUGUCGGGUAAGUUCCGACCUGCACGAAUGGCGUAAUGAUGGCCAGGCUGUCUCCACCCGAGACUCAGUGAAAUUGAACUCGCUGUGAAGAUGCAGUGUACCCGCGGCAAGACGGAAAGACCCCGUGAACCUUUACUAUAGCUUGACACUGAACAUUGAGCCUUGAUGUGUAGGAUAGGUGGGAGGCUUUGAAGUGUGGACGCCAGUCUGCAUGGAGCCGACCUUGAAAUACCACCCUUUAAUGUUUGAUGUUCUAACGUGGGCCCCUUACCGGGGUUGCGGACAGUGUCUGGUGGGUAGUUUGACUGGGGCGGUCUCCUCCUAAAGAGUAACGGAGGAGCACGAAGGUUGGCUAAUCCUGGUCGGACAUCAGGAGGUUAGUGCAAUGGCAUAAGCCAGCUUGACUGCGAGCGUGACGGCGCGAGCAGGUGCGAAAGCAGGUCAUAGUGAUCCGGUGGUUCUGAAUGGAAGGGCCAUCGCUCAACGGAUAAAAGGUACUCCGGGGAUAACAGGCUGAUACCGCCCAAGAGUUCAUAUCGACGGCGGUGUUUGGCACCUCGAUGUCGGCUCAUCACAUCCUGGGGCUGAAGUAGGUCCCAAGGGUAUGGCUGUUCGCCAUUUAAAGUGGUACGCGAGCUGGGUUUAGAACGUCGUGAGACAGUUCGGUCCCUAUCUGCCGUGGGCGCUGGAGAACUGAGGGGGGCUGCUCCUAGUACGAGAGGACCGGAGUGGACGCAUCACUGGUGUUCGGGUUGUCAUGCCAAUGGCACUGCCCGGUAGCUAAAUGCGGAAGAGAUAAGUGCUGAAAGCAUCUAAGCACGAAACUUGCCCCGAGAUGAGUUCUCCCUGACUCCUUGAGAGUCCUGAAGGAACGUUGAAGACGACGACGUUGAUAGGCCGGGUGUGUAAGCGCAGCGAUGCGUUGAGCUAACCGGUACUAAUGAACCGUGAGGCUUAACCUU
Molecule: ribosomal RNA, 2059 nt
Filed under: Escherichia coli
Lineage: Bacteria; Pseudomonadati; Pseudomonadota; Gammaproteobacteria; Enterobacterales; Enterobacteriaceae
Description: partial 23S ribosomal RNA
Rfam family: Bacterial large subunit ribosomal RNA
Source: RNAcentral